Long non-coding RNA from Mustela lutreola (European mink), 1963 nucleotides. RefSeq lists it as uncharacterized. The transcript has 5 exons. The record is from RefSeq and is a predicted model, not a curated record. NCBI's taxonomy places the organism in Eukaryota, Metazoa, Chordata, Mammalia, Carnivora, Mustelidae.
GUCGGAGCCAAGUGCGGAGGAGGGGUGGCUCUGGCUCUGCGCGCAGCUGGCUCAGGCUCGGAGCCCGGCAGUGUCCCUCUGCAGGACCAUCAAGCCCACGGAGCUGUUAAUCAUUACCUCUACUUGCCCCAGCAGAACAAUACUAGACCCAUGUCAGAGGUUGAAGACACACCGGUUCAGAAACACAUGAUGGCGGCUUCAUAAAUGUGUGAAUUGAUUUUUUGGCAUAAUCCAGACGACUAGUCAAGUACGCUUCUUGUCCUUCAUGCAGGAGCAAGUGGAGAGAGGAAGUGAGCGGGGAGAGAAAGUUUGACACAAUGAAGGGAAAGAUUAAGGUCCGGGAAACAGUGAAAGAAGAUAGAGCGCGGGGGUUGAAGCAAAGAAACUCACAGCAUUUGUGGGCAUCCUGCAUCCAGACCAAGUCCUGUGACCAGCUUUGCUUAUGGAAGGUGGAGCUCCACUAGGUCCAGGCCUCAGAGGAUCCUUCCUGUGAAGACAGGCCCCUCAGCAGCCACAAGCAGCCUCUUCAUGGCCUCAGUUGCGAAUCUGAGGAACAAGAUAGAGACUUCUGGUUUCUGGUCUGGUAUGUAAGGGGCUUGGAAGUCACCACUCUGCUAAACAACGAGUAAAAAUCUGAAGGAACCCAAAAUUCCUAAAUCAUUAAGGGAGGGGAGGUUGCUGGGCCAAGGGCUUCCUGGAAAACUGGAGAAACCUACACAUCACUACAGAGAAUCGCAACUUACCAUAAGCAAAACCGAAGAGCAAAAACCUCUGGGGGAACCAGUGCAGGGGUAGCAAAAACCUGGACGAAGUUGCUGAAUUGCUGGAGGCUCAUGUGGACAAGCCCGAGAGUUAGAAACUCCAGGGGACCCAGUCCCUGGCGGGAAGCCUUUGAUGGGCUUAUAGAUAAACUGUAUGUGACUCAGGAAAGAACCUCUGAGCUCGUGUAUGUCAGCAGAAACAUUCAAAACUGAAAAGCAAAGAGAGGGGCUUCUGGGUGGCUCAGUCAGUGAAGCGUCUGCCUUCACCUCCCUGCUCUGCGAGGGGCCUGCUUCUCCCUCUUCCUCUGCCUGCCACGGCCCCCGGCUUGUGCACGCUCUCUUUAUUUUUCAAAUAAAUAAAUAAAAUCUUUUAAAAAAUGAAAAGAGGAAAAAAAGACUGAAAAAUACAGAAUAAGAGAUCUAAGAACUGUGGGACAAGUACUUUUAAUGGGAAUACCAGAAGAAGGGGAAAGACAGAGAAUUGGGAGAAAUAUUUGAGGCAAGAAUGACUGAAAAUUUCCCCCAAAUUCAUGUCAGACACCAACUCACAGAGCCAGGAAGUCCAGAACACACCAAGCAGGAUAAAUGCCAACAUUCAUAUUUAAACUGCAGAAAAUCCAAGAUAUUUAAAACUAUUAAAUGAAGCCAAAGGAAAAAACCUUCCCAAUAGAGGGUGAGAAUUACAUCCUACUUGUCCUCAGAGCCCAAACACAUCAGAGAGUGGGGAGAAGUAUUUAAAAUGUCCCAAGGAGUGAAGUCCUUUUCUCUUUCCUGAACGUCCUCCAGUUUAUUGAUAAACUCUUGUGCCCCAGUACAAACCCACAUCGAGGUAUCUGAGACUCUGUCUCCAGGUUCAGUAGAUACAUGGAGAUUCCUUCUGACUGAGCCGCUGAGUCAGUCACAGUCAAAUUCAUGUAUUUGGUGGGUCCCCGUGCGCUGUGACAGGUGUCCCACACACAACACUCUGUAGGAAACAGGUGCUGUGCUUCCAUGGGACUUGAAUUUUAAUAAGUGGAAGUUUAAGGGUAUAAAAGUAACUAAUGCUUUGAACCUGUAGUAGACUGAUUUUUUUUUUCAGCAGUUUCAUGAUUUUCUAUUUCAAUUUCAAAAUUUUCAGUGUGGAGUAGAAAGAAUUUUCAAUGAAUAUCCAUAUAUUCACCACACAAAUUCUGCCAUUAACACUUUAUAAUACUUGUUUUAUA